GCCGAGCCGCGAGCCGAGUGAGCCGAGCCGCCAGCCGAACCAAGCCGAGCCACGAGCCGAGUGAGCCGAGCCGCGAGCCGAACCAAGCCGAGCCGUGAGCCGAGCCACGAGCCGAACCAAGCCGAGCCGCAAGCCGAGUGAGCCGAGCCGCGAGCCGAACCAAGCCGAGCCGAGCCGAGCCGAGCCGAGCCGAGCCGAGCCGAGCCACCUAAGCCUUCUUUCCUCCACUUCGGUUCACGGUAGUACAGAGUUGACGCUUAAGUUCUCGGGUUCCGCGGCAGGCCUGGUUGGAGAUAGUUUCCUUUCCUUGGGUGGAUCUGUUGAGCGUAGAUUUCGAUCGAGGGGCAUAACCGAAUUUCAGGUAGGGGUACAGCGAGGGGCAGACCGACGAGAGGCAGGAAGGAUGCGUGAAGGCCAUAUGGACGCG
Molecule: long non-coding RNA, 427 nt
Organism: Cucumis melo (muskmelon)
Lineage: Eukaryota; Viridiplantae; Streptophyta; Magnoliopsida; Cucurbitales; Cucurbitaceae
Exons: 4
Source: RefSeq, a predicted model, not a curated record